This is a non-coding RNA of Lepisosteus oculatus (spotted gar), 733 nucleotides long. The record is from the annotation of a RefSeq genome assembly. NCBI's taxonomy places the organism in Eukaryota, Metazoa, Chordata, Actinopteri, Semionotiformes, Lepisosteidae.
UUUAACACUUCAUGACUGAGAGCUGCCCUUCAUGGCAACAGAACCCACAGCAACAAUGACCUUCAUCACCAUCUUCAUCUGGACACUCUUCUGCUUUCAUGGUUCCAGUGGGCAGAUUACUGUGACUCAGACUCCAUCAGUGACAUCUGUUCUCCCAGCACAGACAGUCACUGUGAGCUGUAAGACCAGCAGUUCUGUGGGUAACUGUUAUUAUAGUGGCUCAAAUUACCCCUGUCUUGCUUGGUACCAGCAGAAAGCCGGAGAAGCUCCCAAACUCCUGAUGUAUGGGGCUUCAAUCCGUCAGUCUGGGAUCCCAGGUCAUUUCAGUGGCAGUGGAUCUGGAGCUGACUUCACUCUGACCAUCACAGGAGUCCAGGCUGAAGAUGCAGGAGAUUAUUACUGUCAGCAGUAUGGCAGUACUCCUCUCACACAGUGAUACAUGUCUGUACAAAAACCUCCCUCAGCUCUACAGGAGCUGCUCUGGCUCAUCAACAGGAACCACAGAGGACUGAGGCUGACAACAGCUGCAGAGCUGCUACAGGUGAACUGAGCACAACUAAGUUUGUGCAUAAUGUAUUAAACAUUUUUCUUAGAGUUAUGGUCAGUAUUUUUACCCAAAUUAUUUCCAAAUGUAAUCACAGUACAUUAUUCAAUGAAACUGAAGAUGAAAAAUAAAGAAUAGUGAAUACUUUUUAACAACUAUGGAGAUAAUCUUUUAUACAUUCUUGAUAAC